GACGAACGCUGGUGGCGUGCUUAACACAUGCAAGUCGAACGGGAUUUCGUAAACAGAAGCCUCGGUGGAAGAUUACUAAUGAGAGUGGCGAACGGGUGAGUAACGCGUGAGCAACCUGCCUAUGACAGUGGGAUAGCCUCGGGAAACCGGGAUUAAUACCGCAUAAAAUCGUAGAAACACAUGUUUUAACGGUCAAAGAUUUAUCGGUCAUAGAUGGGCUCGCGUCUGAUUAGCUAGUUGGUGAGAUAACAGCCCACCAAGGCGACGAUCAGUAGCCGGUCUGAGAGGAUGAGCCGCCACAUUGGAACUGAGACACGGUCCAAACUCCUACGGGAGGCAGCAGUGGGGAAUAUUGCACAGUGGGGGAAACCCUGAUGCAGCGACGACGCGUGAACGAAGAAGGUAUUCGUAUCGUAAAGUUCUGUUCUAUGGGAAGAUAAUGACAGUACCAUAGAAGAAAGCUCCGGCUAACUACGUG
Molecule: ribosomal RNA, 478 nt
Filed under: uncultured bacterium
Lineage: Bacteria
Description: partial 16S ribosomal RNA
Rfam family: Bacterial small subunit ribosomal RNA
Source: RNAcentral